UACGGAGGGUGCGAGCGUUGUCCGGAAUCACUGGGCGCAAAGGGCGCGUAGGUGGCCUGUGGAAGUCUGCGGUGAAAGCCCGGCGCUCAACGCCGGGUCGGCCGUGGAUACUCUCGGGCUCGAGCUUACUAGAGGCAGAUGGAAUUCCGGGUGUAGCGGUGGAAUGCGUAGAGAUCCGGAAGAACACCGGUGGCGAAGGCGGUUCUCUGGGCCGAUACUGACGCUGAGGAGCGAAAGCGUGGGGAGCGAACAGG
RNAcentral lists this ribosomal RNA (254 nucleotides) under uncultured bacterium. RNAcentral describes it as "partial 16S ribosomal RNA". It matches the Rfam family "Bacterial small subunit ribosomal RNA", at positions 524 to 776 of the family's 1533-position model. The record is from RNAcentral.